CCUACGGGAGGCAGCAGUGGGGAAUAUUGCACAAUGGGGGAAACCCUGAUGCAGCGACGCCGCGUGAAGGAAGAAGUAUUUCGGUAUGUAAACUUCUAUCAGCAGGGAAGAAAAUGACGGUACCUGACUAAGAAGCCCCGGCUAACUACAUGCCAGCAGCCGCGGUAAUACGUAGGGGGCAAGCGUUAUCCGGAUUUACUGGGGGAAAAGGGAUCGUAGGCGGUUCAGAAAGUCAGAAGUGAAAGACGGGGGCUCAACUCCGGGACUGCUUUUGAAACGGUGGAACGAGAUUGAAGGAGAGGGAAGUGGAAGUCAGAGUGUAGCGGUGAAAGGCGUAGAUAUUAGGAGGAACACCAGUGGCGAAGGCGGCUUACUGGACUGUAAAUGACGCUGAGGCUCGAAAGCGUGGGGAGCAAACAGGAUUAGAUACCCGGUAGUC
This 439-nucleotide ribosomal RNA is filed under the name uncultured bacterium. RNAcentral's name for it is "partial 16S ribosomal RNA". It matches the Rfam family "Bacterial small subunit ribosomal RNA", at positions 338 to 795 of the family's 1533-position model. The record is from RNAcentral.